AGACACUCAAAUAACCGCUGGAUAAUAAACGUGCCAUGCGACACCCGGCUCGUUAGCCACCUCUAUUUUCUCUUUUGUGAGUCCUUUUCUUGAGUUUUCAAGAAUUAAUGUGUCUAAGACACUCAAAUAACCACUGGAAGCAUGCUUUUAGCCAGAGAUUAGUAGCUCAACUGAAAACCUUGUUCAUCUACCAAAUUCGAAACAACAAUUCUCAGAGUCCAUUUCAGUUCCUCGCAAAUGCUUUAAAGAAAUUUGUUGCUGCUCAUAAGAAAAUGAAUUAGUUGAAGAGCUCCAGUUAUUAGGACUGUCGUUAGCGAUUACGGUGACGACUCAGAAACUCUCCAUCUGCAAUGGAGCCGCGUACCAGGUAACUCUAACUUUCUUCUUAAAUGUAUAUUUUUUCUCCCCUGGUGAUGACAUUGGCUAUAACUGAAGAUGGAUUUUGUGAAAUGUUGGUAAUGGUUUAUGACGACGAUGGUUUGUUAAGGUACUUAAUUUGUUUAAAAUUUUCAUAAAUUUGAACUAAUGCAUAGUGCAGAUUGUGGGACAGCAGCUUUAUAUAUAUUUCAAUCAAGGAAGACUUAAUUAUGAGGCUAUAGAUGAAGUAAUAAUAUGGAUCUGGCAUGCCUCUGGUGGAAGAUGAAGAGUUGGAUUCCUGCAGUUUUGUUUGGGGCUAUUUGUCUAAUUUUUGGGAGGUUUUGCUGAAGUAAUUGUGUGGGUUUGCUUGUAGGGUGCAUUUCAUGUUUUGUUUUAACACUGAAUUGUAUUUCAUUAAAAUAUUAUUUUUUAUGUAAAUUCGUAUUGAAAAAGUGGUUAUAUAAUGAAAGGAG
RNAcentral lists this long non-coding RNA (830 nucleotides) under Citrus sinensis (sweet orange). RNAcentral's name for it is "long non-coding RNA (CSIN_LNC000131)". Lineage: Eukaryota; Viridiplantae; Streptophyta; Magnoliopsida; Sapindales; Rutaceae. The record is from RNAcentral.